CCUACGGGCGGCAGCAGUGAGGAAUAUUGGUCAAUGGACGAGAGUCUGAACCAGCCAAGUAGCGUGAAGGAUGACUGCCCUAUGGGUUGUAAACUUCUUUUAUAUGGGAAUAAAAUGUUCCACGUGUGGGAUUUUGUAUGUACCAUAUGAAUAAGGAUCGGCUAACUCCGUGCCAGCAGCCGCGGUAAUACGGAGGAUCCGAGCGUUAUCCGGAUUUAUUGGGUUUAAAGGGAGCGUAGGUGGAUUGUUAAGUCAGUUGUGAAAGUUUGCGGCUCAACCGUAAAAUUGCAGUUGAAACUGGCAGUCUUGAGUACAGUAGAGGUGGGCGGAAUUCGUGGUGUAGCGGUGAAAUGCUUAGAUAUCACGAAGAACUCCGAUUGCGAAGGCAGUUCACUGGACUGCAACUGACACUGAGGCUCGAAAGUGUGGGUAUCAAACAGGAUGAGAUACCCGGGUAGUC
Molecule: ribosomal RNA, 460 nt
Filed under: uncultured bacterium
Lineage: Bacteria
Description: partial 16S ribosomal RNA
Rfam family: Bacterial small subunit ribosomal RNA
Source: RNAcentral